RNAcentral lists this ribosomal RNA (454 nucleotides) under uncultured bacterium. RNAcentral's name for it is "bacterial SSU rRNA". It matches the Rfam family "Bacterial small subunit ribosomal RNA", at positions 29 to 507 of the family's 1533-position model. The record is from RNAcentral.
AAUGAACGUUGGCGGCGUGGAUUAGGCAUGCAAGUCGAGCGAGAAGGGUUUGGUGCUUGCAUUGAACCUGGAAAGCGGCGAAAGGGAGAGUAACGCGUAGGACACUACCCCCAGGUUCGGGAUAGCGGCGGGAAACUGCCGGUAAUACCGAAUAAUGUCUCCGGACCAAAGGUGAGAUUCCGUCUGGGGAUGGUCCUGCGUCCUAUUAGCUUGUUGGUGGGUAAUGGCCUACCAAGGCAAAGAUGGGUAGCGGGCGUGAGAGCGUGGCCCGUCUCACUGGGACUGAGACACUGCCCAGACGUCUACGGACGGCUGCAGUCGAGAAUCUUCCGCAAUGGACGAAAGUCUGACGGAGCGACGCCGCGUGCGGGAUGAAGGCCUUCGGGUUGUAAACCGCUGUCAGAGGGGAGCAAAUUUUGAGCAAUCCUCAGAGGAAGCACAGGCUAAGUUCGUG